This 439-nucleotide ribosomal RNA is filed under the name uncultured bacterium. Its description in RNAcentral is "partial 16S ribosomal RNA". It matches the Rfam family "Bacterial small subunit ribosomal RNA", at positions 339 to 795 of the family's 1533-position model. The record is from RNAcentral.
CUACGGGCUGCUGCAGUGAGGAAUAUUGCACAAUGGGGGGAACCCUGAUGCAGCAACGCCGCGUGGAGGAUGACGCAUUUCGGUGUGUAAACUCCUUUUAUAUGUCAAGAAAAUGACGGUAGCAUAUGAAUAAGCACCGGCUAACUCCGUGCCAGCAGCCGCGGUAAUACGGAGGGUGCAAGCGUUACUCGGAAUCACUGGGCGUAAAGGACGCGUAGGCGGGCUUGUAAGUCAGGUGUGAAAUCCUACAGCUUAACUGUAGAACUGCACUUGAAGCUACGAGCCUAGAGUAUGGGAGGGGCAGAUGGAAUUAGUGGUGUAGGGGUAAAAUCCGUAGAUAUCACUAGGAAUACCUAAAGCGAAGGCGAUCUGCUGGAACAUAACUGACGCUAAGGCGUGAAAGCGUGGGGAGCAAACAGGAUUAGAUACCCUAGUAGUC